This is a long non-coding RNA of Pseudophryne corroboree (corroboree frog), 1493 nucleotides long. RefSeq lists it as uncharacterized. The record is from RefSeq and is a predicted model, not a curated record. The transcript has 3 exons. Lineage: Eukaryota; Metazoa; Chordata; Amphibia; Anura; Myobatrachidae.
ACUUUGUAUAUAUGUGUAGACACAUCAUUUACUCAGUGUAAACACACACAGAAAAGUGAGAAAAAUUAUUUUACUUAAUGAAAAAGAAUGUUGGGCUUUUUUUGUUGUUUACACCAGUGGUUCCCAACCUCGGUCCUCAAGUACCCCCAACAGUUCAUGUUUUCCAGGUCACCUAGCAGUUGAACAGGUGUAUUCAUUACUCACUGACAUUAAAUAAGACCCACAGGUGAAGCUAAUUAUUUCACUUGAAAUCCUGUGAGGAGACCUGGAAAACAUGAACUGUUGGGGGUACUUGAGGACCGACGUUGGGAAGCACUGGUUUAGACCAUAGAAGAUCGUAAGUUCCCAAACAUGGUCUUCAUGGCACCCCAAUGGUCCAGCUUUUAUAGGUAUAUCCAUGCUUGACCACAGGUGACUUAAUUAGUACCUCAGUCAAUAUGAUUUAACCAUCUGUGCUGUGCCAUGGAUAUCUUUAAUACCUGGACCGUUAGGGUAUCUUGAGUACCACAUUUGGGAACCUCUUCCAUAGGUUCUAAACUCUGUGCUCUAGCCUGCAGUUCAUGUUUUCCAGGUCUCCUCACAGAAUCACCAGUGAAAUAAUUAGCUCCACCUGAGGAUCUUUUAAAGUGUAUCAGUACUAUGUCUGCCCCUGGAGAGAACCCCAAAUAUGAUCCUUUCUAUCCUUUCUGGACAAAGUAAUUCUCAAUCUUCUAGCAUCUGAGAAAUGGGGAAAUAAACACAUGUUCACUGAUCAUUAAUAAAAAAACAGAAAUCUGAACAGUGGCGUCACAAGGGGGGUGCAGCCCGCUCGCAGGUGUCACCCACCGAGGGGUGACACCAAAAUGCUGGCUCCUUCUCAGUGACAGGAGCUGGUGGCUGCACUGUAACAUUACUAUAUGUACAGCACUAUCACAGUAUAGGAGCUGGCAGUACAGAUCUGACAGUCAUUCAUACAGACAGUACAGACAAGAUAUCCAUACAGACUGGUCGGAAUAUACGGAACUCCAACUAUUCUAUGCUUUAAUUGAACUGUAUGCUAGCAGUUCCAACACAUCUGGUAAUUGUCCUGAGUUGAUCGUUUAAUGUGGAUUCCUGCAUUUACCUGCAUUUAAAUGUGAUUUCUGAAAUUCUAACAUGUGAUUUUUAGUGUGUACAGUACUUUAAGUAUAUGCAUAUUAAAACUGUACUUCACCAUGCACUUUCAUUCUCUCCAUUUUCAUGUUCAUGGCAAAUUAUUGGAGAAAGAUGCUCAUACUAAUGUGCAUAUAGGAUUGAAGAAGGUCCUCUACAAGCGCUGGUUAUGUUUUUUCCCCCCACUGUGUGGUCUGCUGAUCCCAGCAAGGCUGUCAGGGUAUAAUGACACUUGGAGAACCACAAGAGCCAACAUUCUAGGGCAUCAAGACCUCACUAGCAUAUGUUGUCCGGUGGUCAAGAAAUAUUUAAAUAAGACAGGACAUGCACUCUGUACAAAAAAAUAUUUUAUAAAAUAAACA